RNAcentral lists this Y RNA (109 nucleotides) under Propithecus coquereli (Coquerel's sifaka). RNAcentral describes it as "Y RNA (ENSPCOG00000009744.1)". It matches the Rfam family "Y RNA". Rfam says of the family: Y RNAs are components of the Ro ribonucleoprotein particle (Ro RNP), in association with Ro60 and La proteins. The Y RNAs and Ro60 and La proteins are well conserved, but the function of the Ro RNP is not known. The record is from Rfam by way of RNAcentral. Lineage: Eukaryota; Metazoa; Chordata; Mammalia; Primates; Indriidae.
GGCCGGUCUGAAGGUACUGAGCUAUCUCGAUUGUUCACAGUCAGUUACAGAUCAAACUCCUUGUUGUACUCUUUCCUCCUUUCUCGCUACUACACUUCACUAGUCUUAA